AGAGUUUGAUCAUGGCUCAGAUUGAACGCUGGCGGCAGGCCUAACACAUGCAAGUCGAACGGUAACAGGAAGCAGCUUGCUGCUUUGCUGACGAGUGGCGGACGGGUGAGUAAUGUCUGGGAAACUGCCCGAUGGAGGGGGAUAACUACUGGAAACGGUAGCUAAUACCGCAUAACGUCGCAAGACCAAAGAGGGGGACCUUAGGGCCUCUUGCCAUCGGAUGUGCCCAGAUGGGAUUAGCUAGUAGGUGGGGUAACGGCUCACCUAGGCGACGAUCCCUAGCUGGUCUGAGAGGAUGACCAGCCACACUGGAACUGAGACACGGUCCAGACUCCUACGGGAGGCAGCAGUGGGGAAUAUUGCACAAUGGGCGCAAGCCUGAUGCAGCCAUGCCGCGUGUAUGAAGAAGGCCUUCGGGUUGUAAAGUACUUUCAGCGGGGAGGAAGGGAGUAAAGUUAAUACCUUUGCUCAUUGACGUUACCCGCAGAAGAAGCACCGGCUAACUCCGUGCCAGCAGCCGCGGUAAUACGGAGGGUGCAAGCGUUAAUCGGAAUUACUGGGCGUAAAGCGCACGCAGGCGGUUUGUUAAGUCAGAUGUGAAAUCCCCGGGCUCAACCUGGGAACUGCAUCUGAUACUGGCAAGCUUGAGUCUCGUAGAGGGGGGUAGAAUUCCAGGUGUAGCGGUGAAAUGCGUAGAGAUCUGGAGGAAUACCGGUGGCGAAGGCGGCCCCCUGGACGAAGACUGACGCUCAGGUGCGAAAGCGUGGGGAGCAAACAGGAUUAGAUACCCUGGUAGUCCACGCCGUAAACGAUGUCGACUUGGAGGUUGUGCCCUUGAGGCGUGGCUUCCGGAGCUAACGCGUUAAGUCGACCGCCUGGGGAGUACGGCCGCAAGGUUAAAACUCAAAUGAAUUGACGGGGGCCCGCACAAGCGGUGGAGCAUGUGGUUUAAUUCGAUGCAACGCGAAGAACCUUACCUGGUCUUGACAUCCACGGAAGUUUUCAGAGAUGAGAAUGUGCCUUCGGGAACCGUGAGACAGGUGCUGCAUGGCUGUCGUCAGCUCGUGUUGUGAAAUGUUGGGUUAAGUCCCGCAACGAGCGCAACCCUUAUCCUUUGUUGCCAGCGGUCCGGCCGGGAACUCAAAGGAGACUGCCAGUGAUAAACUGGAGGAAGGUGGGGAUGACGUCAAGUCAUCAUGGCCCUUACGACCAGGGCUACACACGUGCUACAAUGGCGCAUACAAAGAGAAGCGACCUCGCGAGAGCAAGCGGAUCUCAUAAAGUGCGUCGUAGUCCGGAUUGGAGUCUGCAACUCGACUCCAUGAAGUCGGAAUCGCUAGUAAUCGUGGAUCAGAAUGCCACGGUGAAUACGUUCCCGGGCCUUGUACACACCGCCCGUCACACCAUGGGAGUGGGUUGCAAAAGAAGUAGGUAGCUUAACCUUCGGGAGGGCGCUUACCACUUUGUGAUUCAUGACUGGGGUGAAGUCGUAACAAGGUAACCGUAGGGGAACCUGCGGUUGGAUCACCU
This 1530-nucleotide ribosomal RNA is filed under the name Escherichia coli BIDMC 49b. Its description in RNAcentral is "bacterial SSU rRNA". It matches the Rfam family "Bacterial small subunit ribosomal RNA". The record is from RNAcentral. Lineage: Bacteria; Pseudomonadati; Pseudomonadota; Gammaproteobacteria; Enterobacterales; Enterobacteriaceae.